GACGAACGCUGGCGGCGUGCUUAACACAUGCAAGUCGAACGGAAAGGCCCUGCUUUUGUGGGGUGCUCGAGUGGCGAACGGGUGAGUAACACGUGAGUAACCUGCCCUUGACUUUGGGAUAACUUCAGGAAACUGGGGCUAAUACCGGAUAGGAGCUCCUGCUGCAUGGUGGGGGUUGGAAAGUUUCGGCGGUUGGGGAUGGACUCGCGGCUUAUCAGCUUGUUGGUGGGGUAGUGGCUUACCAAGGCUUUGACGGGUAGCCGGCCUGAGAGGGUGACCGGCAACAUUGGGACGGAGAUACGGCCCAGACUCCUACGGGAGGCAGCAGUGGGGAAUAUUGCACAAUGGGCGGAAGCCUGAUGCAGCAACGCCGCGUGCGGAUGACGGCCUUCGGGUUGUAAACCGCUUUCGCCUGUGACGAAGCGUGAGUGACGGUAAUGGGUAAAGAAGCACCGGCUAACUACGUG
Molecule: ribosomal RNA, 467 nt
Filed under: uncultured bacterium
Lineage: Bacteria
Description: partial 16S ribosomal RNA
Rfam family: Bacterial small subunit ribosomal RNA
Source: RNAcentral